UCCAAAUAUUUCCAUUUUCUUUACCCUAGCUCCCUAAGAAAAUUCUGGAGAAGACUCUGGUGUCCUCUAAGUAUGGAGUUUUCACCAUAUGGAAAAGAAAUAGUAAAAUCCAUCACCAAAAUGAUGGAUUCCUUGAAAACAUCCUUGCGAGUCAAGUUGCUGCAUUAAAAAAAAAUCCUCCCCAAUGAAAGAGAAGAUAAAGAAGAAAAGAGGAAAAGAGAAGAGGGACAAAGAGAAUCACUUCCAGGUCAGUAAUAGUUAAGAGCAAAGGCAUUCAAGUCCCUGUUAAGUCAUAUGUUAGGACUUGUAGAUUAUUGACAAAAAGAAUCAUGGAUUGUCCUUAGUUAAAUAUAUUCUUAGAGCUAGUUACAUAAUUCAAGGUGUCCACCAGAAUUGUAGUAAGACACAUAUAAUGUUAUAAGAACAG
Molecule: long non-coding RNA, 427 nt
Filed under: Felis catus (domestic cat)
Lineage: Eukaryota; Metazoa; Chordata; Mammalia; Carnivora; Felidae
Description: lncRNA (ENSFCAG00000046338.2)
Source: RNAcentral